Molecule: RNase P RNA, 354 nt
Filed under: Abyssibacter profundi
Lineage: Bacteria; Pseudomonadati; Pseudomonadota; Gammaproteobacteria; Chromatiales; Oceanococcaceae
Description: Bacterial RNase P class A
Rfam family: Bacterial RNase P class A
About the family: Ribonuclease P (RNase P) is a ubiquitous endoribonuclease, found in archaea, bacteria and eukarya as well as chloroplasts and mitochondria.
Source: Rfam by way of RNAcentral
GGAGUCGGCCAGGCAAUCGCUGCACGCAUGCGUGUGGAGGAAAGUCCGGGCUCCAUUGGGCAGGGUGCCAGGUAACGCCUGGGCGGCGCGAGCCGACGGCCAGUGCAACAGAGAACAGACCGCCGAUGGCCCACCAUGUGGUGCACAGGUAAGGGUGAAACGGUGCGGUAAGAGCGCACCGCGCGACCGGCAACGGAAGCGGCACGGUAAACCCCACCCGGAGCAAGGCCAAAUAGGGGAACAACAGGCGUGGCCCGCGUCGUUCCCGGGUAGGCUGCUUGAGGUCCGCGGUGACGCGGAUCCCAGAGGAAUGAUUGCCCACGACAGAACCCGGCUUAUCGGCCGACUCCCUCU